This is a long non-coding RNA of Prionailurus viverrinus (fishing cat), 389 nucleotides long. RefSeq lists it as uncharacterized. The transcript is spliced from 3 exons. Lineage: Eukaryota; Metazoa; Chordata; Mammalia; Carnivora; Felidae. The record is from RefSeq and is a predicted model, not a curated record.
GAAAAGAAGUCCGACUUCCUCUCCGCGCUGCUCUGGUGCGAUCUGGAAUCGGCAGGAAAUGGCUCGAACACCCGUCCCGCGCCUUUGCAGUCAGCCCUCGCUUUGCUGAAGGGAAGCAGCUCCCACCAAAGUCUUACCGCCCCCUCCCCCACGAAAGACCCGCGCAGGUCAGAGCCUACGAGAAAAGCCCGGAGCCAUCCACUCACCUGGGUGAGGCCAUAAAGAGUUAAAAUUACCAACCAUGAGAAGGAAAAGUGAUUUUUGGCAAACAUGAAACAUUGGUGAAUCGGAGUCUGACUACCAAAUUUGGGAGUGGAUCUGGACAAAAUGAAAGUUUACAUCUAGCAGCUGAGCAGCUGAGGAUGAGUUCGGCUCAUGUGAACAUGAAU